Limulus polyphemus (Atlantic horseshoe crab) is the source of this 446-nucleotide long non-coding RNA. RefSeq lists it as uncharacterized. Lineage: Eukaryota; Metazoa; Arthropoda; Merostomata; Xiphosura; Limulidae. The record is from RefSeq and is a predicted model, not a curated record. The transcript is spliced from 3 exons.
AAUUUAACCAUGUGAUUUUUGAUGUUGCCUCAGGCGAAGGUCUUAGUUAUAACGUUCUCUGCAAUGCAUUAAAUUUAAUUGAAAAAUUCGUCAAACGGUUUCGUUUUGUUUAUCGCUUUUCUUAUUUAAACAAGCUAAUAUUUAUGAAACUAACUUCAUUGAUUAGGUGUAGAGCUCUUAUGGUUAUUUUAUAACAAGAGAGGAUUUAAAUACACUUUAUGGAUUUAGUCAUUUAUUGGGUUAGACCUCUUCGCCUGGAGAGUAGAGAAGACCAGGUUCAAUCCAGAAGUUAGGUGACUAUACAUUUUGCAUAGUCUAUUAGCUAAGAGUACAAAUGGCUAGUUUUGGAGAAAUCUUUAGAGAAUACUACUGGGUUGGAAUUUUAUUUGUAGUUUUGGUCGUUCUUGGAGUUAUAGUUGUGUGGAUAAUUUUCAGAUGCAGGUAAG